CAGCAGCCACGGGAAUACAGAGGGUGCGAGCGUUAAUCGGAUUUACUGGGCGUAAAGCGUGCGUAGGCGGCUUCUUAAGUCGGAUGUGAAAUCCCUGAGCUUAACUUAGGAAUUGCAUUCGAUACUGGGAAGCUAGAGUAUGGGAGAGGAUGGUAGAAUUCCAGGUGUAGCGGUGAAAUGCGUAGAGAUCUGGAGGAAUACCGAUGGCGAAGGCAGCCAUCUGGCCUAAUACUGACGCUGAGGUACGAAAGCAUGGGGAGCAAACAGGAUUAGAUACCCCUGUAGUCCCUGUCUCUUAUAC
Molecule: ribosomal RNA, 301 nt
Filed under: uncultured bacterium
Lineage: Bacteria
Description: partial 16S ribosomal RNA
Rfam family: Bacterial small subunit ribosomal RNA
Source: RNAcentral